This 254-nucleotide ribosomal RNA is filed under the name uncultured bacterium. RNAcentral's name for it is "partial 16S ribosomal RNA". It matches the Rfam family "Bacterial small subunit ribosomal RNA", at positions 524 to 776 of the family's 1533-position model. The record is from RNAcentral.
UACGUAGGGGGCGAGCGUUGUCCGGAUUUAUUGGGCGUAAAACGCUUGUAGGCGGCCACAUCGCGUCGUGCGUGAAAUCUCCCGGCUCAACUGGGAGGGGUUGUGCGAUACGGAUGGGCUCGAGGCCGGUAGGGGGACGCGGAAUUCCCGGUGUAGUGGUGGAAUGCGUAGAUAUCGGGAGGAACACCAGUGGCGCAGGCGGCGUCCUGGACCGGCACUGACGCUGAGGAGCGAAAGCGUGGGGAGCGAUCCGG